RNAcentral lists this ribosomal RNA (450 nucleotides) under uncultured bacterium. RNAcentral's name for it is "partial 16S ribosomal RNA". It matches the Rfam family "Bacterial small subunit ribosomal RNA", at positions 338 to 795 of the family's 1533-position model. The record is from RNAcentral.
CCUACGGGUGGCUGCAGUGAGGAAUAUUGGUCAAUGGUCGCAAGACUGAACCAGCCAUGCCGCGUGCAGGAAGACGGUCCUAUGGAUUGUAAACUGCUUUUAUACAGGAAGAAACCCUCCCACGUGUGGGAGCUUGACGGUACUGUAGGAAUAAGGAUCGGCUAACUCCGUGCCAGCAGCCGCGGUAAUACGGAGGAUCCAAGAGGCAUUCGGAAUCAUUGGGUUUAAAGGGGUCGUAUAAGGCCGUGGUGAAAGCCCAUCGCUCAACGAUGGAACUGCCAUUGAUACUGUAAGACUUGAAUGCUUAGGAAGUAACUAGAAUAUGUAGUGUAGCGGUGAAAUGCUUAGAUAUUACAUGGAAUACCAAUUGCGAAGGCAGGUUACUACUAAGUGAUUGACGCUGAUGGACGAAAGCGUGGGGAGCGAACAGGAUUAGAUACCCCGGUAGUC